Molecule: ribosomal RNA, 351 nt
Filed under: uncultured Anaerolineaceae bacterium
Lineage: Bacteria; Bacillati; Chloroflexota; Anaerolineae; Anaerolineales; Anaerolineaceae
Description: bacterial SSU rRNA
Rfam family: Bacterial small subunit ribosomal RNA
Source: RNAcentral
CCCUUCGGGGAGCUUGUACAGGUGCUGCAUGGCUGUCGUCAGCUCGUGUCGUGAGAUGUUCGGUUAAGCCCGCUAACGAGCGCAACCCUCGCUGUGUGUUAUAUGUGUCACACGGGACUGCCGGUUUUAAGCCGGAGGAAGGUGGGGAUGACGUCAAGUCAGCAUGGCCUUUAUAUCCUGGGCUACACACACGCUACAAUGGUCGGUACAAUAGGUUGCCAAGCCGCGAGGCGGAGCCAAUCCACAAAGCCGGCCUCAGUUCAGAUUGUAGGCUGCAACUCGCCUGCAUGAAGAUGGAGUUGCUAGUAACCGCAGGUCAGCAAUACUGCGGUGAAUACGUUCCCGGGUCUU